This 450-nucleotide ribosomal RNA is filed under the name Triticum aestivum (bread wheat). RNAcentral describes it as "partial small subunit ribosomal RNA". Lineage: Eukaryota; Viridiplantae; Streptophyta; Magnoliopsida; Poales; Poaceae. The record is from RNAcentral.
AUGCAAGUGAGCUUCUCCGAGCUCAAGGCAAGCGUACAGGACAUGCAGCUGGUUGUCAAGAGAGGAAAUGAUGCGGCUCUUCAGGCCAGGAUCCAGUCUUGGUUCCGCCUGAUCAAGAAAGCGCAAAAGCAGUUGAAGAAGAUCAGCAGAAAGUCUUCUCCGGCUGAUGUCGGGAGCUGCAGAGUGGUCAGUCUGUUGGCUGAAGCUAGGGACGUCGCUGUCACAACGAUUGAAUCCUCGUUGGAACUCCUGUCGAAGCAAAUUGCCACGCAGAAUUCCAGCAGGUGGUCUCUCGUGUCCAGGGGGUUCCAGAAGAAAAGUGUGGCAUGCAAGGAGGAGCAACUGCAGGUGCUGGAGUUGGACAUUGUUGAUCUUGAGAGCGGAGUCGAGUCUUUGUUCAGGAGAUUGAUCCAGAGCAGAGUUUCUCUUCUCAAUACUCUGAGCUUGUAG